AUGAUGUGCUUAAUGGCAUCACAAAGAUUAAGAGAUCCUUUGAAGAGAAGAAGCCAAAGAACUCAGUGUUAUUGCACUAAGCAAGUCAAGCAGCAGUACAUAAAAUUCACUUUAUGCUAGACUGGGUCUGGCUGCGACAACAAACUCAUCCAUGGU
Molecule: long non-coding RNA, 156 nt
Filed under: Parus major (Great Tit)
Lineage: Eukaryota; Metazoa; Chordata; Aves; Passeriformes; Paridae
Description: lncRNA (ENSPMJG00000005023.1)
Source: RNAcentral